GCACUAUUUUUGACUCUUUUCAGCUUGGCUGCAGCUAGUAAGCUGGGAGGACUGUAAAAGGACUGUAAAAGCUACAGGAGGACUGUAAAAUCUCCAAAUGGAGAUUGGAGAGAAAGUCAUCAUUACUUCUAAGACUCUUCUUGGCGAAGGGAAUUAUCUUCUGCUAUUUAGAUGAAGAAAUAAUUCUUCCUUUUAACCUAGUGGUUUGUGAAAUUGAUUCAAGUUGAUAAAAGUUCACAAGCAAGUCCCAGAUCUCCAGAGAGGAAAUGUUAUGACACUGAAUAGGUCUUUAAGAACUGACUGGUGUUUUACUUUGGUCUUUAGCUAUCAUGUGUUUAUCCAGAUAAUUGAUUUUUGGGAUAAGGAGAAAAGCAAAUUUAGAAAGUUGCCUUAGACAAUAUGUGUAUGUAAUUUCUUCUUGGAGUAGGUUUGUCUCAACUGAUUGUAGUUCAUUUAUUUGUGAUUAUCUAUUAAAGAUAAAACUGAUAUUUAUCCUCUAGUUUCAGUUAUUUGUUUAAUGCCCUUUCUAACCAAAUGCAUACUGCCUCCUACUCAUUUUUGGAAUGCCAUCAUUGAAUAUG
RNAcentral lists this long non-coding RNA (581 nucleotides) under Bos taurus (domestic cattle). Its description in RNAcentral is "long non-coding RNA NONBTAT022544". Lineage: Eukaryota; Metazoa; Chordata; Mammalia; Artiodactyla; Bovidae. The record is from RNAcentral.